RNAcentral lists this ribosomal RNA (450 nucleotides) under uncultured bacterium. RNAcentral describes it as "partial 16S ribosomal RNA". It matches the Rfam family "Bacterial small subunit ribosomal RNA", at positions 338 to 795 of the family's 1533-position model. The record is from RNAcentral.
CCUACGGGGGGCAGCAGUGGGGAAUAUUGGACAAUGGGCGCAAGCCUGAUCCAGCGACGCCGCGUGUGUGAAGAAGGCCUGCGGGUUGUAAAGCACUUUUAGUGGGGAUGAAAAGCUCGGAGCCAAUACCUCCGGGUCUUGACCUAACCCAAAGAAAAAGCACCGGCUAACUCUGUGCCAGCAGCCGCGGUAAUACAGAGGGUGCAAGCGUUAAUCGGAAUUACUGGGCGCAAAGUGGGCGUAGGCGGUUGAAAUCCCCGGGCUCAACCUGGGAAUUGCAUUCGGGACUGCGAGGCUAGGGUGCGGAAGAGGGAAGUGGAAUUUCCGGUGUAGCGGUGAAAUGCGUAGAUAUCGGAAGGAACAUCAGUGGCGAAAGCGACUUCCUGGUCCAGCACCGACGCUGAGGCGCGAAAGCUAGGGGAGCGAACGGGAUUAGAUACCCCAGUAGUC